RNAcentral lists this transfer RNA (69 nucleotides) under Plagiodontia aedium (Hispaniolan hutia). RNAcentral describes it as "tRNA-Gly". The record is from RNAcentral. Lineage: Eukaryota; Metazoa; Chordata; Mammalia; Rodentia; Capromyidae.
ACUUUCUUAGUAUAAUUAGUACUGCCGACUUCCAAUCAGCAAGAUCCGUGUUACAAAUGGAAGAAAGUA